AGCAGGAAGGGCCGGCGGGAAGGGGGGGUGGAAAGAGCCACUCCUGGUUAAUAACUCUGCGGGGUUAACCUAGGGCCGGCCAUACUCAAGUACGGACUUGAGUAAAAUUCAGCAGGAAAAGGAGCAGGGUGGGCGCCGCUAGAGGGAGGCUUCAGGACUGAGGGUCAGAGGCCCAAGGCCUGGCAGGGCCCUUCCCUGGUCAGCUCCAGGCUUGGCCUGAUGCCCGGUGGGCCACGGGCCUCUUCCAGCCUCAGGCUGACCCCAGAGAAAGAGGACAGCCCACAAGCCCGGGAGGCCGGCUUGCUGCCUGGUCAUUGCUGCAGAGCCUGGAGGGGGCCUGCGCUCAGUCCCCGCUGACCGUCCCCUCCCUUGACCCUGCCAUAGCCAUCUGUGUAACCCAGGGGAAAUUAUUCCAAAGGGACUUCCACUUCUGAUAAUCUAUGAUUCUAUUUUCUAAAAAACAAAACUCUAAAAUGCUUAAUGUCAAACAUCUGUCAUCAGCUGAACAGGAAAAGGAACAGUAAGUACAAAGCAAGGCAACAUCAGAAAAGGGAGCCCUGAGGAAUUUCUCCCUCCUUCCCUGAGCCGGGUGAGGCCGUGACUGCAGCCUGACUCACAGGUUUUAUUUCACUUAUUAACCUAAAGAUGGUGAGGAUCUGCUGGUUCUCCCCCAGGCCUGGAGGCUGCCUACCAUCGGUGGCUCUCAUCGGUCCUUCCAAAGUGCCUACGGAAAGCUUUGUCCCAUCCUUGAAAAAUUGCUAAUGGGUUUGGAGAUACGAGGUGGAGAUGACUAGCAAUCAAACUCAAAGGUGGAAGUCACAUCGAGGCAGAUGAGCAGAUGAGGGGACCUAGAGAAGAAGAGAGGUGCAAGGAGAGCCCAGCCAGCAGGAACAUCUGCCCCAGUAGGCAGCACUGCCCCACAUCAGAGUCGAGGAAAGCAAAGCUCGGAUUGGAUAAAAGAAACUUGCAAACACGGUCAGUGCUUACUGCAUGUGGGCUCAGAGCACGUUACCCUCCUUCCCUGCAUGUUCCUGUGAAACGGGUUUACUGCUCUAACUCUCAGGGACACUGUGAAGACCAAACGAGAAAAUAGAAACAAACAUAAUUUAUAAACCAUAAAGUACUGACACCAAAAGAGGGGCGAGCACAGCAUUGUGAAUGUGCUGGUACUAAAUGGUUUGUUUUAAGAUGAUUUUAUGGUGUGUGAAUUUCACUUGAAUAAAUUUUUUUAAUGGAGUUCA
RNAcentral lists this long non-coding RNA (1241 nucleotides) under Homo sapiens (human). RNAcentral's name for it is "HSALNT0350542". The record is from RNAcentral. Lineage: Eukaryota; Metazoa; Chordata; Mammalia; Primates; Hominidae.